This 1410-nucleotide long non-coding RNA is filed under the name Phasianus colchicus (ring-necked pheasant). RNAcentral describes it as "lncRNA (ENSPCLG00000013356.1)". The record is from RNAcentral. Lineage: Eukaryota; Metazoa; Chordata; Aves; Galliformes; Phasianidae.
GCUCUCACCUGGAGCCAUCCCUGCUGUCUGCAGGUGGCAGAUUUGGGGGGGAAAAGGGGGGUUGCCUUUAUACUGGGUCCCUCUAUUUUUUGGGGGGGGUUCCUUUUAACGGGAAGUGUUCUCUUAUGAGGGGGGGUCCCCAUAAUUUGGGGGGGGUCUUCCUUGGGUUGCACCCCUUAACACUGCAGUUAUGAUGAGGACAACAACCACGAGCCCUGCCAACGCCGCGGCCACAAAGCGCAUUGGGCCGUCGUCUCUGGUCAGUUUUGGGGUCUUCUCCCCCUCCCCCCAAAAAAACCCCACAACAUUUGGGGUCCUGGGGGGGGGCACCGUGCCCCCCCUUGCCGUGAACGCCCCUUUCAUGGACCCCCCCCCAAAUUUGGAUGGUUUAGGAGUGAUGCUGGGGGUGAAGGAUGCGGCGCUGAGCUCUGGAUGGCAGCAGGAUGCUGAGAUCCCCAAUCUGUUCCGGCCCCCCCACACCCCAAAAGGGGGACCCCCAAAUUUGGGGGGGGGACACCUAGAUUUGGGGGGGGGUCUUCAAGUUAUGGAGGGAGGCCCGGAAUUGGGGGGGGGCACCCUGGAUAUAAGGAGGUGUCCUCGGGUUUUGGGGGCAGGGCAGGAGUUGGGGGAAUCCCCGGAAUUGGGGGGGGGUCCUCAGGGCAUGGGGGGACCCUCGGAUGUGGGGGGGGGCCCGGAAUUGGAGGGGGGUCCUCAGGAUAUGGGGGUCUCCACCCGAGGCACAGGGGUCCCCCAUAUCUUGGGGGUCCCCCACGUCCCAGCGUCACCCCACAACCUGGGGUCCCCCCAUAAUUUGGGCCCCCCCCCAGACCCACAGUCCCCCCGUAACUCAGGGUCCCCCCAUAAUUUGGGUGUCCCCCACUCCCUGCCCCCCCCCCAUAACACGCCGUCCCCCCCAGACCCAAAGUCCUCCCCAGUCCUGGGGUCUCCCCAUAACCCGGGGGUCUCCCAUAUCCCACUGUCCCCCCCAGACCCAAAGUCCCCCCGUAACUCAGAGCCCCCCCAUAACUCAGAGCCCCCCCAUGAUUUGGGGUCCCCCCCAGACCCAGGGAUCCCCUGCAUCCCAUUAACCCCCCAUUCCCCGGGGUCCCCCCAUUCCCCAGGNNNNNNNNNNNNNNNNNNNNNNNNNNNNNNCCCCCUCCCUGCCCCCCCCCCCGAAUUUGGGGUCCCCCCCCCCACCCCUGCGUGUUCUGGGGGUCCCGGUUCGGGCUCUGUGGGUCGUAGCCCAGCAGGGGAAAAGCCCCCGCUGCCACGCCUGGCCCUAUCGGCUCCUGUGGGGCAGCAACGCGCAGCUGCUGGAGCUCAGCCCCCACCGCCGGGGGGGGGAUUACGUCGUACCGCCGGGGGGGGUCCUGGGGGGGCUGGGAGGGCGGGCGGUGCUGCUCAGCCCCA